UUAGUAACUGCGAGUGAAGAGGGAAAAGCUCAAAUUUAAAAUCUGGCAGCAUUUUGUUGUCCGAGUUGUAACCUAGAGAAGUGUAACCUGUGCUGGACCGUGUAUAAGUUUCCUGGAAUGGAGCAUCACAGAGGGUGAGAAUCCCGUCUUUGACAUGGACUACCAGUGCAUUGUGGUUGUGCUCUCAACGAGUCGAGUUGUUUGGGAAUGCAGCUCUAAAUGGGUGGUAAAUUCCAUCUAAAGCUAAAUAUUGGCGAGAGACCGAUAGCGAACAAGUACCGUGAGGGAAAGAUGAAAAGAACUUUGGAAAGAGAGUUAAACAGUAUGUGAAAUUGUUGAAAGGGAAACGUUUGAAGUCAGUCGCGUUAGCUGGGGAUCAGCCUGACAUUGUUGGGUGCACUUCCUGGUUGACGGGCCAACAUCAGUUUUGACUGCCAGAAAAAGGCCAAGGGAAUGUGGCACCUUUGGGUGUGUUAUAGCCUUUGGUCAUAUAUGGUGGUUGGGACUGAGGAAUGCAGUGUGCCGAAAGGCCGGGUUUCGACCACGUUCACACUGAGGAUGUUGGCAUAAUGGCUUUAAGCGACCCGUCUUGAAACACGGACCAAGGAGUCUAACAUGCAUGCGAGUGUUUGGGUGGAAAACCCUUACGCGUAAUGAAAGUGAAAGUUGAGAUCCCUGUCAUGGGGAGCAUCGACGCCCGGACCAGAACUUUUGGGACGGAUCUGCGGUAGAGCACGUAUGUUGGGACCCGAAAGAUGGUGAACUAUGCCUGAAUAGGGUGAAGCCAGAGGAAACUCUGGUGGAGGCUSGUAGCGAUUCUGACGUGCAAAUCGAUCGUCAAAUUUGGGUAUAGGGGCGAAAGACUAAUCG
This 870-nucleotide ribosomal RNA is filed under the name Amanita fritillaria. Its description in RNAcentral is "eukaryotic LSU rRNA". It matches the Rfam family "Eukaryotic large subunit ribosomal RNA", at positions 80 to 937 of the family's 3401-position model. Lineage: Eukaryota; Fungi; Basidiomycota; Agaricomycetes; Agaricales; Amanitaceae. The record is from RNAcentral.